RNAcentral lists this ribosomal RNA (320 nucleotides) under uncultured Bacteroidales bacterium. RNAcentral's name for it is "bacterial SSU rRNA". It matches the Rfam family "Bacterial small subunit ribosomal RNA", at positions 28 to 339 of the family's 1533-position model. The record is from RNAcentral. Lineage: Bacteria; Pseudomonadati; Bacteroidota; Bacteroidia; Bacteroidales.
GAUGAACGCUAGCUACAGGCUUAACACAUGCAAGUCGAGGGGCAGCAUUAUCGAAGCUUGCUUUGAUAGAUGGCGACCGGCGCACGGGUGCGUAACACGUAUCCAAUCUACCCAUGGCUCAGGGAUAGCCUUUCGAAAGAAAGAUUAAUACCUGAUGGUCUGUGAUUGAGACAUCUCGAACACAGUAAAGAUUUAUCGGCGAUGGAUGAGGAUGCGUCUGAUUAGAUAGUAGGCGGGGUAACGGCCCACCUAGUCGACGAUCAGUAGGGGUUCUGAGAGGAAGGUCCCCCACAUUGGAACUGAGACACGGUCCAAACUCC